UUCGAUGCACGCGCAUGUACC
Molecule: non-coding RNA, 21 nt
Filed under: Caenorhabditis elegans
Lineage: Eukaryota; Metazoa; Nematoda; Chromadorea; Rhabditida; Rhabditidae
Source: RNAcentral